CGGUUGAUCCUGCCGGACCCCACUGCUAUCGGGAUAGGACUCAGACAUGCUAGUCGUGCGCUUCCCAAGCCAAUAUUGAAGAAACGCGGCGCACAGCUCAGUAACACGUGGCUAACCUGCCCUUGAGACAGGGACAACCCCGGGAAACUGGGGAUAAUCCCUGAUAAACGAGGACUCCUGGAAUGGAUCCUCGUUGAAAAAACGCCUAGAGCAUGCUUCUAGGCGUUGCUCAAGGAUGGAGCCGCGGCCGAUCAGGUUGUUGGUGAGGUAACGGCUCACCAAGCCUUUAACCGGUACGGGCCGCGGGAGCGGUAGCCCGGAGAUGGGCACUGAGAUAAGGGCCCAGGCCCUACGGGGCGCAGCAGUCGCGCAAACUCUGCAAUACACGAAAGUGUGACAGGGCUAUCCCGAGUGCCGUCCGCUGAGGAUGGCUUUUCCACGCUGUAAGGAGGCGGAGGAAUAAGGAGAGGGCAAGACUGGUGUCAGCCGCCGCGGUAAUACCAGCUCUCCGAGUGGUGGGGAUGCUUAUUGGGCCUAAAGCAUCCGUAGCCGGCCCGGCAAGUCCCCCGUUAAAUCCAACAAUUCAAUUGUUGGACUGCGGGGGAUACUGCCGGGCUAGGGGGCGGGAGAGGCCGACGGUAUUCCCGGGGUAGGGGUGAAAUCCUAUAAUCCCGGGAAGACCACCAGUGGCGAAGGCUGUCGGCUAGAACGCGCCCGACGGUGAGGGAUGAAAGCUGGGGGAGCGAACCGGAUUAGAUACCCGGGUAGCCCCAGCUGUAAACUAUGCAGGCUAGGUGUUGGGGCGGCUACGAGCCGCUCCAGUGCCGCAGGGAAGCCGUUAAGCCUGCCGCCUGGGAAGUACGGCCGCAAGGCUGAAACUUAAAGGAAUUGGCGGGGGAGCAC
This 903-nucleotide ribosomal RNA is filed under the name uncultured archaeon. RNAcentral describes it as "bacterial SSU rRNA". It matches the Rfam family "Archaeal small subunit ribosomal RNA", at positions 5 to 879 of the family's 1478-position model. The record is from RNAcentral.